This 2370-nucleotide long non-coding RNA is filed under the name Mus musculus (house mouse). RNAcentral describes it as "predicted gene, 39918 (Gm39918)". Lineage: Eukaryota; Metazoa; Chordata; Mammalia; Rodentia; Muridae. The record is from RNAcentral.
AGAUGGGCAGGAGGGACGGGAGGCGAGAGAUGCAAGGAAGACAGGCCUCGAGAUGGAUGGAGAUUCCCUCAGUGGGAGCAUGAAUACAGUUCCCCAUAUCACAGAUCAUGUGGCAGUGGAGAAACCAUAGGUGUCAGUGCAUCUCAGGAGCAAGGCAUGGGCCUCACCUUGAGAAAACCACCUCGAUUCGAUUAUGGUCUUUCUUUUGCCAGUGCCAAUGAGGCAGGAACAACAGCUGCUAAGAGACACUGGAUUAUAGAAAACAAACAAACGACUGAGUUAACCAACCUGUAUACUUUCUUCUCUUUCUUUUUUUAAAAAAAGAUUUAUUUAUUAUUAUAAAUAAGUACAUGGGGGCAGCUGUCUUUAGACACACCAGAAGAGGGCAUCGGAUCUCACUAUGGGUGGUUGUGAGUCACCAUGUGGUUGCUGGGAUUUGAACUCAUGACCUCUGGAAGAGCAGUCAAUACUCUUACCUGCUGAGCCAUCUCACCAGCCCCCUGUAUACUUUCAAGAUGCUUUAACACCCGAAUAUGUGGUGGCGAUGUUCAGUUCUUACUAAGACAGCCAUGUUAUUGAGGUAAUGUGGAUAUGGCUUCCCUGUCAUUUCUAGGCAACAUAAUCUUUAUUGCAGACUGCCUCUGUCCUCUGGCUUUUUCAGACCCCUCUUCCACUGUUCUGUGAGUGUACAAUGUGGGGGCUGUGUUAUAGCUGUAUCCAUUAGUUCUCUGCAUUUUGACCAACUGUGGCUUUCUGUAUGGGUCUCCAAAGCCUUUCAUGAAGGUGUUGACUUCUAUGUGGGGAGGAUGUAAAACCCACCCCUCACCCCCAGAGGCUCAUGGGUAAGAGAUCACCUUGAGUCUCAUUAGAGAGACUUUGGAUUUGAACUUUUUUUUUUGUUUUUUUUUGAGACAGGGUUUCUCUGUAUAGCCCUGGCUGUCCUGGAACUCACUCUGUAGACCAGGCUGGCCUCAAACUCAGAAAUCUGCCUGCCUCUGCCUCCCGAGUGCUGGGAUUAAAGGUGUGCGCUACCAUGCCCGGCCAGACAGAUUCUUGAGGGCAGUUUUAGUCGAGCCAGAGAUGGCUGCAGGUGUAGAUGCCUGUUAAAGGCCUUGCCUAGGAUGCCUGGGGUCCCAGACAGUUCUCCCAGCACUGCAUAGCAGAGAGAAGGCACCAUGACCAAACCAGGGAGAGGAAGUCAGAGGAUGGACAGAAGGACAAAGGCAGAGGAAACUCUCAAGACUGCUGGUUUCCCAUUUAUCUCUGCUGUUCCCUUGAAUACAUAUGCUGCCUCAGCCCCGACUCCUCUCCACGCUUUUAUACUCGUACUCUGUCAGAAACAGAGAUUUCCUGCAGUGACGUGAGGGUUGGAGUAAGGUAGGGCUACGGACACUAAAAGACCAUGGCAGAGCAUCACAUCCUGACUUUCGAAGCUUUGGCAGGGUCAACAAGUUGUCACAUCGAAAAGUUCUGGAGAACCCAGCCUGUGGACGGAUUCAUGGACGCUGUCUGAAGAUUUAAGAGCUGGCUGAUUUCAACCUCUUCCCACUAUUACACAGAUGUCCACUGUUUCAUGGGAAUAUCAAUUAGGCUUGUUUUGGUUGCAAGGCUGUUUGAGGAAUGCUUCUCCAGGACACCUUGUGAUCAGUCGUUUUCUGUAACCAGUGCUCUAUAAGCUCCAGAAUGGCCAGAGAGCAUAUUUACAACCUGCCUGUUUGAACCUGUUGACUCAGGGCAAAUCCUCAGUUAUCUGGGCCAGUAUGAAAGAUUCUACUCAACUGCAGUUGGGCACAGGCCUCAUCUCUCAAAGCUCCAUCUUUGUAAAUCGGGAUUCGAAGGGAUAGAGAGAGUUACUUUGGGAAGGUUCAGCAAGACAGCCCAUGCACGAGACAUCAUGGCCUUUGCCAGGUUCUCUUAAACCUAGUUAGUGCUCCAAUGCAGAGCUCACUCUCACGGAGCCUCAGAGCCCUGGGCUGGUCCCACAGUGCACGGGGCAGCAGGCUCAGGCUCAGGCUUUGAGGCAGGCAGCAUCCAGCUCGACGCCCUUGGAGCGUUUCCUCAGUCUGACACCUCACAGUGUAAGUACGCUGUGCAGCAUGUCCUCCUACAUUCUGUGGUGUUCCGAAGGAAAAGGAGUAAUGAUGACAGCAAACAUUCAGGACUAUUACAUGCUGCUGAAAAAAAAAUUGAAGUAAGAGAAAUUAGAAAGUUUAUAAAAAAUCCAAUUGGGUUAAAUGAAGAAAAUACAUUUGACUUUUGUAACUAGGAAGGAACAAAUUGAUGUUCUUUUUAAAAGCAUGAAAUUUAUAAUUGUGAGACAAAGACAAUAUGUCUAAAAAAUAAUGGUCAAUAAAUUUGUUUAAAUUAAAA